This is an RNA transcript of Zalophus californianus (California sea lion), 3215 nucleotides long. It is a transcript of the gene named lipoprotein lipase, with no coding region annotated. NCBI's taxonomy places the organism in Eukaryota, Metazoa, Chordata, Mammalia, Carnivora, Otariidae. The transcript is spliced from 11 exons. The record is from RefSeq and is a predicted model, not a curated record.
GCAGCUGUGGAGUGGAAACAGUGUCAGACUCGAUUCUUCCUCCUCCUCUUCGGAGGGAACCUGCCACUUCUAGCUGCCCUGCCCUCCCUUUUAAAGGGCAACUUGCCCCACGCCGGACCUCAGCUCCAGCCUGCUCCCGCCUCGGGCUCAGCUGGUCCAUCACCCUGUCCGCGCUUCUGCCAGUGCCCUGUAGCUUCUACAGAGAGACGCGCCCCGAGAUGGAGAGCAAAGCACUGUUCCUGGUGGCCCUUGGCAUGUGGCUCCAGAGUCUGACCGCCACCCGCGGAGGGGUGGCCGCCGCCGAUAGAAUUACGGGAGGAAGAGAUUAUAUAGAUAUUGAAAGUAAAUUUGCUCUAAGGACCCCUGAAGACACAGCUGAGGAUACUUGCCACCUCAUUCCUGGAGUGACAGAAUCUGUGGCUAACUGCCACUUCAACCACAGCAGCAAAACCUUUGUGGUGAUCCAUGGCUGGACGGUGACAGGAAUGUAUGAGAGUUGGGUGCCAAAACUUGUGGCUGCCCUGUACAAGAGGGAACCUGACUCCAAUGUCAUUGUGGUGGACUGGCUGUCACGGGCCCAGCAACAUUAUCCAGUGUCUGCCGGGUACACCAAGCUGGUGGGAAAAGAUGUGGCCAAGUUCAUCAACUGGAUGGCGGAGGAAUUUCACUAUCCUCUGGACAAUGUCCAUCUCUUGGGAUACAGUCUUGGAGCCCAUGCUGCUGGCAUUGCAGGAAGUCUGACCAAUAAGAAGGUCAAUAGAAUUACUGGCCUAGAUCCAGCUGGACCUAAUUUUGAAUAUGCAGAAGCUCCAAGUCGCCUUUCUCCCGAUGAUGCAGAUUUUGUAGACGUCUUACACACAUUCACCAGAGGGUCGCCUGGCCGAAGUAUUGGAAUCCAGAAACCAGUAGGACAUGUUGACAUUUAUCCUAAUGGAGGCACUUUUCAACCAGGAUGUAACAUUGGGGAAGCUAUCCGUGUGAUUGCAGAGAGAGGCCUUGGAGAUGUGGACCAGCUAGUAAAGUGUUCCCAUGAGCGUUCCAUUCAUCUCUUUAUUGACUCUCUGCUGAAUGAAGAAAAUCCAAGUAAGGCCUACCGGUGCAACUCAAAGGAAGCCUUUGAAAAAGGGCUCUGCCUGAGUUGCAGAAAGAACCGUUGCAACAACUUGGGCUAUGAAAUCAAUAAGGUCAGAGCCAAAAGAAGCAGCAAAAUGUACCUGAAGACACGCUCUCAGAUGCCAUACAAAGUCUUCCAUUACCAAGUAAAGAUACAUUUUUCUGGGACUGAGAGUGAUACACAGACCAACCAGGCCUUCGAGAUCUCUCUGUAUGGCACUGUGGCCGAGAGUGAGAACAUCCCUUUUACCCUGCCUGAAGUUUCUGCGAAUAAAACCUACUCCUUUCUAAUUUACACGGAGGUGGAUAUUGGGGAACUGCUAAUGUUGAAACUCAAAUGGAAGAGUGAUUCAUACUUCAGCUGGUCAGACUGGUGGAGCAGCCCUGGCUUUGCUAUUGAGAAGAUCAGAGUAAAAGCAGGAGAGACCCAAAAAAAAAAGUAAUCUUCUGUUCCAGGGAGAAAGUGUCUCAUCUGCAGAAAGGAAAGGCAUCUGUGGUAUUUGUGAAAUGCCAUGACAAGUCUCUGAAUAAAAAGUCUGGCUGAACCUGGGCAAAUCUACAGAAGGAAGAACAGCACAUGAAUUUUACGAAGAAUGAAAUCACUUUUACAAAAGAUGCCCAGUGCUUGGGUGUUUCAAAGAGAAUUUUCCUGAGUAUUAAUCCCUAAUUAAUAAUUAAUUAGUUAUUUUAGGAUACAGUCUUAAAUACCCAAAAAAGUGGCUAAUUCAAUUUGAGGAAUAUAGUGGCCAAAUAGCACAUCAUUAAAAGAGCACAGAUUUAAAAAUCACUGUUUUGUCCUUUGAAAAAGAAAUAAGAACCAUUUUGGCUCACGGUAACAUAAUACACCUUCUUUAUCUAGUGAGUUUAACCAUAGCGUAAAAUUAAGUAGAAUCUCACUUUUUAAUCAGAAGCUUGCAUUUUCUGGACUGAUACCUUCUCAAUGUUUUCUCCAAAUCUGAAUAUAGAAAAUGAUUUUUUUUUUUUUUUUGGUGGCAUGAGUUGGACCCAUUUUCUUACUAGUCAAAGCACCUGACUUUUUUGGAAUGGUUUUUCUCUUGCCAUCAGGUUCUGUGUUGCCCAGGAGUUAACCAGGGACUAGUGACUUGGAGAGAGGCAUAGAAAAUGAAAUUGAUAAAUCACUGAAACUUUAAACCCUCCCUGCAGCUGGUUGCAUCAUUGCUAAGUUACAAAUUAAAAGAGAUAUAAAAUUUAGACCAAUUCAGUCUUAAUAGGCUUAUAGUUUGUCGCUUAAUCUCUACCUGCCAUUUGUCUCAAGAUUAUAUUUUAACAGUGCUUUCUAGGUUGGUGUUUUACAUGAGCCUGUUAUUGUCAACUGACACAUAAUUUUAACUAUGGGGAAAGAAAAUGAUACCACAAUUUCAUUAAUCAGAUUUCUGAAGUUAUAUUCAUCAAUUUGAGGUCAUUUAAUAUCUGAUAGGCACUGUUCAAUUUUAGGUUUAUCUCAGUCAUGCUUCAAUCAUACUUUGAGCAUGUCUCUUCCCUGGUUUUAGUAAGAAAAUAUGUACUCAAGGUCAAAUUUUACAUCACGCAAACUUCUAUAAAUUUUAGACAAGGGUCAUUGUUACUAAGUUAGGAGGUGAAAAAUUAUAUAUCCAUAAACAGUGCUUAAAACCACUGUGAGCAAUUAAAAGAAUCCUCAAUUGCCAUAGCCACAUGAAAUGCCAUGAGAGGUGUUAUUUUUAACAACUAGUCCAGAGUGAGUGAACAGUUAUUUAUAAACUAGAUAUCAUAUUUUCAGAAUGAUCUUCUAUAUAUUAAUAUAAAUUGAUAAACAAGUAAAAUGUCUCAAAGACUAUUGCUGGGAAUCCAAACUAUGAACAUGUGUGGGUAUCUGAACAUAAGACUCACAUACGAAGCCCCACAUGUACAUUUAUUAUUCAGCAUGGCUUGGAAAGUAAACAAGAGAUACAGUAUUAGGAUGUAUUGAAGUAGAAAUUAUUCCAGAGGUACUAGAACUUAAGCCCUUCAUUUGAGAAAUAUGGUUAUACCUAUACAAAGUAGGAUGAAUGCUGUGAUAGAUAUCAGCCAACUUGGAAUGAAUUUUUUCUAAAAAUAAAAUAUUGUGAGAUUUGUUGUUGUCA